CUAAAAUGAGAGUUUGAUCCUGGCUCAGGACGAACGCUGGCGGCGUGCCUAAUACAUGCAAGUUGAACGCAGAGGACAGGGGCUUGCACCAU
Molecule: ribosomal RNA, 92 nt
Filed under: Streptococcus porcinus
Lineage: Bacteria; Bacillati; Bacillota; Bacilli; Lactobacillales; Streptococcaceae
Description: partial 16S ribosomal RNA
Rfam family: Bacterial small subunit ribosomal RNA
Source: RNAcentral